GUGUCAGCAGCCGCGGUAAUACCAGCUCUCCGAGAGGUGGGGAUGAUUAUUGGGCCUAAAGCAUCCGUAGCCGGCUGGACAAGUCCCCUGUUAAAUCCAACGAUCCAAUCGUUGGUCUGCGGGGGAUACUGUCCGGCUUGGGGGCGGGAGAGGCCGCCGGUAUUUCCGGGGUAGGGGUGAAAUCCUAUAAUCCCGGGAGGACCACCAGUGGCGAAGGCUGUCGGCUAGAACGCGCCCGACGGUGAGGGAUGAAAGCUGGGGGAGCGAACCGGAUUAGAUACCCGGGUAGUCCCAGCUGUAAACGAUGCAGGCUAGGUGUUAGGGCGGCUACGUGCCGCUCUAGUGCCGCAGGGAAGCCGUUAAGCCUGCCGCCUGGGGAGUACGGUCGCAAGGCUGAAACUUAAAGGAAUUGACGGGG
RNAcentral lists this ribosomal RNA (418 nucleotides) under uncultured prokaryote. Its description in RNAcentral is "bacterial SSU rRNA". It matches the Rfam family "Archaeal small subunit ribosomal RNA", at positions 455 to 873 of the family's 1478-position model. The record is from RNAcentral.